RNAcentral lists this RNase P RNA (426 nucleotides) under Betaproteobacteria bacterium. Its description in RNAcentral is "RNase P RNA component class A". It matches the Rfam family "Bacterial RNase P class A". From Rfam's summary of the family: Ribonuclease P (RNase P) is a ubiquitous endoribonuclease, found in archaea, bacteria and eukarya as well as chloroplasts and mitochondria. Its best characterised activity is the generation of mature 5'-ends of tRNAs by cleaving the 5'-leader elements of precursor-tRNAs. Lineage: Bacteria; Pseudomonadati; Pseudomonadota; Betaproteobacteria. The record is from RNAcentral.
AAAGUGGGUUGGACGAUCGCUGGGUGCUGCAAGGCCUCCAGAGGAAGGUCCGGACUCCAUCGGACGAGGUGCUGGCUAAAGGCCAGGCGCAGCAAGUUAAGGUUGCCCUCGGGCAGCCAAGACCCAAGGCGACGGAAAGUGGCACAGAAAAGAUACCGCCUGCCAGGUCUCGACUUGGUAGGUAAGGGUGAAAUGGUGGGGUAAGAGCCCACCGCGGCGUUGGCGACAGCGCUGGCAGGCUAAACCCCACCUGGAGCAACACCAAAUAGGCAUGCGCGCGCCAGCCUUCGUGCUUGGCCCAUCGAUGGUCCAUCGCUGAUUGCGUAUGUGGGUAGGUGGCAUGAGCGGGCUUGUAAAAGCCCGCCAAGAUGAAUGAUCGUCAGGCUUUUUGCCCUACAGAAUCCGGCCUACAGACCCGCUUUCCCC